This 492-nucleotide ribosomal RNA is filed under the name uncultured bacterium. RNAcentral describes it as "partial 16S ribosomal RNA". It matches the Rfam family "Bacterial small subunit ribosomal RNA", at positions 29 to 507 of the family's 1533-position model. The record is from RNAcentral.
AGUGAACGCUGGCGGUAGGCCUAACACAUGCAAGUCGAACGGCAGCACAGUAAGAGCUUGCUCUUACGGGUGGCGAGUGGCGGACGGGUGAGGAAUACAUCGGAAUCUACUUUUUCGUGGGGGAUAACGUAGGGAAACUUACGCUAAUACCGCAUACGACCUACGGGGGAAAGCAGUGGAUCUUCGGACCUUGCGCGAUUGAAUGAGCCGAUGUCGGAUUAGCUAGUUGGCGGGGUAAAGGCCCACCAAGGCGACGAUCCGUAGCUGGUCUGAGAGGAUGAUCAGCCACACUGGAACUGAGACACGGUCCAGACUACUACGGGAGGCAGCAGUGGGGAAUAUUGGACAAUGGGCGCAAGCAUGAUCCAGCCAUACCGCGUGGGUGAAGAAGGCCUUCGGGUUGUAAAGCCCUUUUGUUGGGAAAGAAAAGCAGCAGGUUAAUACCCCGCUGUUCUGACGGUACCCAAAGAAUAAGCACCGGCUAACUUCGUG